AUUGAACGCUAGCGGGAUGCUUUACACAUGCAAGUCGAACGGCAGCACGAAAAGAGCUUGCUCUUUUUGGUGGCGAGUGGCGAACGGGUGAGUAAUGUAUCGGAACGUACCCAGUAGCGGGGGAUAACUACGCGAAAGCGUGGCUAAUACCGCAUACGCCCUACGGGGGAAAGGGGGGGAUCGCAAGACCUCUCACUAUUGGAGCGGCCGAUAUCGGAUUAGCUAGUUGGUGGGGUAAAGGCUCACCAAGGCAACGAUCCGUAGCUGGUUUGAGAGGACGACCAGCCACACUGGUACUGAGACACGGCCCAGACUCCUACGGGAGGCAGCAGUGGGGAAUUUUGGACAAUGGGGGAAACCCUGAUCCAGCCAUCCCGCGUGUGCGAUGAAGGCCUUCGGGUUGUAAAGCACUUUUGGCAGGGAAGAAACGGCGCUGACUAAUACUUGGCGCAACUGACGGUACCUGCAGAAUAAGCACCGGCUAACUACGUG
This 492-nucleotide ribosomal RNA is filed under the name uncultured bacterium. RNAcentral describes it as "partial 16S ribosomal RNA". It matches the Rfam family "Bacterial small subunit ribosomal RNA", at positions 30 to 507 of the family's 1533-position model. The record is from RNAcentral.